Molecule: long non-coding RNA, 1840 nt
Organism: Lineus longissimus
Lineage: Eukaryota; Metazoa; Nemertea; Pilidiophora; Heteronemertea; Lineidae
Exons: 3
Source: RefSeq, a predicted model, not a curated record
UCCACACGACUGCUGUCGUCAUGAUCUUAUCAUUCAUUCUACCCGGUUCGAACUCCGUACCAGUGUGUAGCACGGCACGACAAGAAAUGCCAGAUGAUUUUGAUAUAUUCGCACCGGAAUGCCAUCAUCCACAACACAGCAGUGCCAUUCGAAAAUACUACGCCCGCCUUCCCGGUCAAAUAACGGUGUCCAUAGACAACAUUAGCAGAAUUAUGGCAUCACUGUCUUCACAAAGCAAAGAGAAGUGGGAGUUCAUGUUUGAUGUAUUGAGCCGAAGUGAGAUGUUCCUGCCCUGUACGACGGAGGUUUCAGACUUAAAGCAACAUCUGAGCGCAAUAAACCCAGAGCAGAUCGUCUACAACAGAGAUGAGAUAGAAAGAGUGCACGUAAAAUGGACUAGAGCAUUAAUGUGCCAUACGAUCUACCUUCACCACGCGAAACGAAACGCGGAGUGCUCCAGUGACGACUUACAGGCCUUAGCGAUAGCUAACGAUAAAAUCAUUACCACGUCCAGACGACUAAUGUGUACAUUCGCGCCCCGAAGUCUUCCAGCAGAUCUCCGAGCAGAGAUUGAAAGUCACCCAGCAUAUCACGUGCCUCACAACUCGUAUAGGCGGGAAAUUGACAAUUACAUAAUCUUGAGUAGCUUUAAAAGUUUGUUGGAGGAGGCAAAAUGGUUUCUCCAGCAAGCUAUGGAAGGAUACAAGACAGCACUUCUCUGACAAACGGCCGAGGAUGUGACAUCCUCCUCAAGCGAUAACCCUGCUUAAUCCUCGCUAGAAACGAGGCUGCUUUUCGGACGAUGCUAUUUGACGCUUUUGUUUUUCCGCAUGCCAUGAAAUGGAGACGGACGAUAAUGAUACUGCAUUUAAUGACGUCACAGACGGACUCGGUAUUCGCGUAAGCUGAUCCCCAGAUUGUUCUAAUUAUUGUUGAUGGAUAUACAGCAGAAUCUUUCAAUAUAUAUUUAUUGAAAGGCUCUGGACACAGUUACUGACAAGAUUGUUGAAAUGGCUUUUUGACAAUGGGUUUUUUCUUAGCAUAAUAGUAAAUAAGUAUAUUUUAUUUCUUUAAAGUACAGUAUCACCCCGCCUCACCAGCUCAACCUGAAGACUUAACUAUAGGUGCAGACUUUCAUCGUUAUAGUAUAUUGACAAAAAGAGUUCGUAUACUCAACUCUAAUUUCAUUCGUUUUAAAUCUUCAGCUGCACCCGCAUAAUGCUUCAUGUUACCGGUAAAGAUUACGUUACAUUUUUUUCUUAUUUGUGAGCUGGCAAUUCAAGAAUAGGUCAACCUACUUUUCGCGUGUCUCGGGAUGUGCCGUCUGAUUGUAUGGGCUCUGCUGCGUCACAUUUCUACGUAUCGUUUCUAUGCCUUUUGAUCCGAAAGUUGGAAAUCAUUACAAAAUAUAUCCCGUCGUAUAUCAAUUUGAAAAGUAUGGGCUACGUGACACUCUAUAAUAUUACAAACCGUGCUGGCACGGACUUGCAUUUGCAUUUAAACUCCCAACUUUCGGCAAUGGGUUAAUGAUAUUUUGACUGUAUAAUGAUAAUGACCGAUCUCCACAUUCACCUUCGGGUAACUAAUGUAAUAUUUAGUAAUAGUAUUUAUUUAUUUAUUUUUCGACGUAACUUUAACUUGUAAUUCCAUUCAAAACGCCCCUAAAAACAAGAUAUACAAAUAAUAUAAUAUUUAUUUGUAGUUUCACCGAGUAAUGAAGUAUAUUUGGGACACUGUAGAGCAUGCACAUAUAUUAAUAAUUAUCAUAAAAUCGCGUAUAUUACGUGUGUAAUCCAUUCCUCUACCGAACUGUGAUUCUGUGCUGCCUAUGUGUGGUAGA